Molecule: long non-coding RNA, 983 nt
Filed under: Nilaparvata lugens (brown planthopper)
Lineage: Eukaryota; Metazoa; Arthropoda; Insecta; Hemiptera; Delphacidae
Description: uncharacterized LOC111050137, transcript variant X2
Source: RNAcentral
UUGUUUUCCUUAUUCCUCCAGGAUUGAUAUACAACUGAAGUAAAGAUUAUCAGAAGACAUCAGUUAUUCAUGAAGAACAGCUCUACUACAAUAAGAUAUGGAUCGGUGAAUUUGAUUAUAAAAUUUCAUCUUCAUUCUCAUAGACGAACAUUGGAAUACCUUCUAUAGAGUGAAGCCUUCAACGAUUCUUAUAAUAAAGCCUAUGUUCUUACGUCCGGAAUUUUAUUAGUGAAGUUCAGUACCGAAGUUAACUAGUGCAAUUACAACAGUGAUAAUUCAGUGGUUAGUGAAGUGAAUGUAUAACUGUUUUUACUUCAAGACGAAGGUUUGGCUACCCUACUUCAUGACUUAAAGAUUAUAAAAUUUCAUCUUCAUUCUCAUAGACGAACAUUGGAAUACCUUCUAUAGAGUGAAGCCUUCAACGAUUCUUAUAAUAAAGCCUAUGUUCUUACGUCCGGAAUUUUAUUAGUGAAGUUCAGUACCGAAGUUAACUAGUGCAAUUACAACAGUGAUAAUUCAGUGGUUAGUGAAGUGAAUGUAUAACUGUUUUUACUUCAAGACGAAGGUUUGGCUACCCUACUUCAUGACUUAGAGAAAUGUCAAAUUGUUGUCGAGAUGAAAGUGAGGUGUUUGAGGUGGCUGGGACACGUUGAGAGGAUGAGUGACUCAAGAGUUGUAAAACAGGUCCUCAGAAACAACCCAGGAGGGAGAAGGCUGAGAAGACGUCCGCGAAAGCGUUGGCUGGAGGAUUUGGAGGACGAUAUUAGGUGGCUGGGUGUCAGGGGAUGGAGACGAAAGGCUGCUGAUAGAGACGAAUGGAGAGGCUUUCUGAAGGAGGUCAAGGCUCAGAAUUAGCUGUAGUGCCAAGGAGUAAGUAAGUAUUUGUUUUCACUUUUUGUGUAGUUGAGAAGUUGAUAUUGUGGUAAUUAUUCAUAUUAAAUAAGAAGACUAACAAAUUGUCAAAAAAUAUCACAGAUUUAUUG